Molecule: long non-coding RNA, 684 nt
Organism: Mesocricetus auratus (golden hamster)
Lineage: Eukaryota; Metazoa; Chordata; Mammalia; Rodentia; Cricetidae
Exons: 3
Source: RefSeq, a predicted model, not a curated record
AAUCCGUGGUCUAGAACAAAACGGUGGGAGAAAAACUGAAGUCACGGAAACCCAUCCAGUAAAUUACAGGCAUUUCUGAACUCUGCAAAAAGGAACGGGCAUCUAAACACCAGAGGGUUUAGAAUUCAAAGUCGACAUGACUAAAGGACCAGUGAGAAGCCAGUGGGCAAAGGCACUUGCCACCAAGCCUUACAACUUGAGCCCAAGCCCCCAAACCAACAUGGUGCGAAGAGAGAACUGACUCCUUCAAGUUAUCCUCUGACCUCCCCAUGUGAGCUAUGCCCACUCUGUACAGGAAGCUGCUUAAGCAUGGAGGUAAACAACUCAAAAUGGCUUCAGGAAGUCCCUGAAACUGACCAGAUUCACUACCUCCCUCCCAGCCACAGUAAGCAAUGGAAGCAGAGAGUCCCCCUAAGAAGCGCUAAAAUGGACUGCAAAGCAGACUCAGACAAGCCAAACUGCAAAGACCGAGACCACGCCACACCAGAUGCAUGGAAGAAGCAGCAGAGGGCAGCUGAGCUGCCCAAGAGGUCUAGACCAACUGAGGCAGCUGGAAGGGACAUGCUCCAACCUGUGCUGGGUGGGCUUUGGUGAGUCAUUUACGCCCCUGUAAGUAAAUGACUCACCACAUUCCUGUAAGUAACCCCAAUAAAACUCGUCAGUUCACCAACCUCGAUUUUUGUG